This 183-nucleotide unclassified non-coding RNA is filed under the name uncultured fungus. RNAcentral describes it as "sequence contains ITS1, 5.8S rRNA gene". The record is from RNAcentral. Lineage: Eukaryota; Fungi.
CAGAGGGAACUCUUCCCGACAAACCACUGCGGACGCUACCUCUUCGUUGCUUCGGCGGGAUCGUCCCGGCCGCGCUGGUGCUGCUCGCCGCGGUCCGGAUCCAGGCGCCCGCCGGAGGCCCCCCAAACCCUGCUUCAGCGGUAUCUUCUGAGUGGCACGAAGCAAAUAAGCAAAAAAAAAAAA